This 374-nucleotide unclassified non-coding RNA is filed under the name uncultured bacterium. RNAcentral's name for it is "contains 16S-23S intergenic spacer region". The record is from RNAcentral.
UCCGCUUUACAGCGGCAGUUUGUUCCGAGUCCCCGACUUUACUCGCUGGUAACAGAACAUGAGGGUUGCGCUCGUUGCGGGACUUAACCCAACAUCUCACGACACGAGCUGACGACAGCCAUGCAGCACCUCUGUGGCGGCCCCCGAAGGGGAAAACCUGUUUCCAGGGCGGUCCACCACAGUUCAAGCCCAGGUAAGGUUCUUCGCGUUGCAUCGAAUUAAGCCACAUGCUCCACCGCUUGUGCGGGCCCCCGCCAAUUCCAUUGAGUUUUAAUCUUGCGAUCGUAGUUCCCAGGCGGUUCACUUAAUGCGUUAGCUGCGGCACCGAGGCAAAGCCCCAACACCUAGUGAACAUCGUUUAUGGCCAAGACUAC